UGGGGAAUUUUGGACAAUGGGCGAAAGCCUGAUCCAGCAAUGCCGCGUGUGUGAAGAAGGCCUUCGGGUUGUAAAGCACUUUUGUCCGGAAAGAAAUCCUUGGCUCUAAUACAGUCGGGGGAUGACGGUACCGGAAGAAUAAGCACCGGCUAACUACGUGCCAGCAGCCGCGGUAAUACGUAGGGUGCAAGCGUUAAUCGGAAUUACUGGGCGUAAAGCGUGCGCAGGCGGUUUGCUAAGACCGAUGUGAAAUCCCGGGCUCAACCUGGGAACUGCAUUGGUGACUGGCAGGCUAGAGUAUGGCAGAGGGGGGUAGAAUUCCACGUGUAGCAGUGAAAUGCGUAGAGAUGUGGAGGAAUACCGAUGGCGAAGGCAGCCCCCUGGGCCAAUACUGACGCUCAUGCACGAAAGCGUGGGGAGCAAACAGGAUUAGAUACCCUGGUAGUCCACGCCCUAAACGAUGUCAACUAGUUGUUGGGGAUUCAUUUCCUUAGUAACUAGCUAACGCGUGAAGUUGACCGCCU
Molecule: ribosomal RNA, 524 nt
Filed under: uncultured bacterium
Lineage: Bacteria
Description: partial 16S ribosomal RNA
Rfam family: Bacterial small subunit ribosomal RNA
Source: RNAcentral